GAAUUUUUAUUUUAUUAUUAGAAUUUUUGUUUUUCAUUCAAGGGGAAAAAAUUUA
This 55-nucleotide transfer RNA is filed under the name Heterodera glycines (soybean cyst nematode). RNAcentral describes it as "tRNA-Glu". The record is from RNAcentral. Lineage: Eukaryota; Metazoa; Nematoda; Chromadorea; Rhabditida; Heteroderidae.